Molecule: ribosomal RNA, 439 nt
Filed under: uncultured bacterium
Lineage: Bacteria
Description: partial 16S ribosomal RNA
Rfam family: Bacterial small subunit ribosomal RNA
Source: RNAcentral
CUACGGGUUGCUCCAGUGAGGAAUAUUGCACAAUGGGGGGAACCCUGAUGCAGCAACGCCGCGUGGAGGAUGACGCAUUUCGGUGUGUAAACUCCUUUUAUAUGUCAAGAAAAUGACGGUAGCAUAUGAAUAAGCACCGGCUAACUCCGUGCCAGCAGCCGCGGUAAUACGGAGGGUGCAAGCGUUACUCGGAAUCACUGGGCGUAAAGGACGCGUAGGCGGGUUGGAAAGUCAGGUGUGAAAUCCUACAGCUUAACUGUAGAACUGCACUUGAAACUGGUAACCUAGAGUAUGGGAGGGGCAGAUGAAAUUAGUGGUGUAGGGGUAAAAUCCGUAGAUAUCACUAGGAAUACCUAAAGCGAAGGCGAUCUGCUGGAACAUAACUGACGCUAAGGCGUGAAAGCGUGGGGAGCAAACAGGAUUAGAUACCCGGGUAGUC